This 444-nucleotide ribosomal RNA is filed under the name uncultured bacterium. Its description in RNAcentral is "bacterial SSU rRNA". It matches the Rfam family "Bacterial small subunit ribosomal RNA", at positions 331 to 792 of the family's 1533-position model. The record is from RNAcentral.
CCAGACUCCUACGGGAGGCAGCAGUGGGGAAUAUUGCACAAUGGGGGAAACCCUGAUGCAACGACGCCGCGUGAGUGAAGAAGUAUUUCGGUAUGUAAAGCUCUAUCAGCAGGGAAGAAAAUGACGGUACCUGACUAAGAAGCCCCGGCUAACUACGUGCCAGCAGCCGCGGUAAUACGUAGGGGGCAAGCGUUAUCCGGAUUUACUGGGUGUAAAGGGAGCGUAGACGGCAUGGCAAGUCAGAUGUGAAAGCCCGGGGCUCAACCCCGGGACUGCAUUUGAAACUGUCAGGCUGGAGUGCAGGAGAGGUAAGUGGAAUUCCUAGUGUAGCGGUGAAAUGCGUAGAUAUUAGGAGGAAUACCGGUGGCGAAGGCGGCCUGCUGGACUGUGACUGACGUUGAGGCCCGAAGGCGUGGGGAGCAAACAGGAUUAGAUACCCUUGUA